Molecule: ribosomal RNA, 374 nt
Filed under: uncultured organism
Description: partial 16S ribosomal RNA
Rfam family: Bacterial small subunit ribosomal RNA
Source: RNAcentral
GUAGGUGGCAAGCGUUGUCCGGAAUUUAUUGGGGCGUAAAGCGCGCGCAGGCGGUUCUUUAAGUCUGAUGUGAAAGCCCACGGGCUCAACCGUGGAGGGUCAUUGGAAACUGGAGAACUUGAGUACAGAAGAGGAAAGCGGAAUUCCACGUGUAGCGGUGAAAUGCGUAGAGAUGUGGAGGAACACCAGUGGCGAAGGCGGCUUUCUGGUCUGUAACUGACGCUGAGGCGCGAAAGCGUGGGGAGCAAACAGGAUUAGAUACCCUGGUAGUCCACGCCGUAAACGAUGAGUGCUAAGUGUUAGGGGGUUUCCGCCCCUUAGUGCUGCAGCUAACGCAUUAAGCACUCCGCCUGGGGAGUACGGCCGCAAGGCUG